GAUGAACGCUGGCGGCGUGCUUAACACAUGCAAGUCGAACGGUGAAGCAGGAGCUUGCUCUUGUGGAUCAGUGGCGAACGGGUGAGUAACACGUGAGCAACCUGCCCCUGACUCUGGGAUAAGCGCUGGAAACGGCGUCUAAUACUGGAUAUGUGAUGUCACCGCAUGGGCUGCCUCUGGAAAGACGUGCGGUUGGGGAUGGGCUCGCGGCCUAUCAGCUUGUUGGGGGGGUAAGGGAUCAGCAAGGCGUCGACGGGUAGCCGGCCUGAGAGGGUGACCGGCCACACUGGGACUGAGACACGGCCCAGACUCCUACGGGAGGCAGCAGUGGGGAAUAUUGCACAAUGGGCGGAAGCCUGAUGCAGCAACGCCGCGUGAGGGAUGACGGCCUUCGGGUUGUAAACCUCUUUUAGCAGGGAAGAAGCGAAAGUGACGGUACCUGCAGAAAAAGCACCGGCUAACUACGUGCCAGCAGCCGCAGUAA
This 484-nucleotide ribosomal RNA is filed under the name uncultured bacterium. RNAcentral describes it as "partial 16S ribosomal RNA". It matches the Rfam family "Bacterial small subunit ribosomal RNA", at positions 28 to 523 of the family's 1533-position model. The record is from RNAcentral.